GUUUAUAUCAGCAUCCCACGUGAAUGUCAGAAAGCACUUACUUUCAAAGCACUGCUGUUGUACAAAUACGCUCUUGGUGCAGAAGCGCUCUGUCAGUGACAAGCAGCUCCUUGCCAAGAUGAGAGCAAACCUGGCAGAGGCUUCUUCCUCCUGUUCCACCCGGUUUUGCGCAAGUUUCUGACGGGCUUUUAGCCCUGAGUCUCUAACUAGAGUCAGCUGGCUGAUGCUGAAAUCGCUGUUGUUUAAGGUCAGCAAAGGCCUUGGUUUUAAUUCAGUUGUUUUUUGUGGUUUUUUUUUCUCCUUGAUUCUAAGCCUGUUUCUGUUGGGUUACUGCAUAACCGAGGCCUCUGACAAAGCACACAUCCCUAAGAUUGCUUUCUCUGGGAUGAGCUCAGUUUGAAAAGAAAGUUGCCAAGUUGCAGCAACAGCAUCUGCAUUCUGGGUUAAAAAAAACUGCUUAAUGAUUUCGGGUUCAACUGUGUCACUGAAGGCUUAAAGAAGCAUUUCUACAACAAAAACAGACGAUGCCAAACUCAAGAUGUUGAAUAUAAUAUGCUCAGUAAACAAAACAUGAAGACCUGACUGUGGCAUCCAUCGUCUCAAGCUGGAUGACCGGGCCAGAAACUCACUGUGGUAUAUGUGACACGGACAUAAAGGAGUGGAUCUUCUCUCCCCACUCCAAGUGUUGGAUCAGGACAAGUUGGAUCAAUUUAUUGAUCUAAUGGGAAAGGAAUCAUUUGAGAGGAUUGAUGUCAUAUUUUCUACCAGAUUAGCAAACGAAUCUAAUUGACCACGCACUGCAAGAUCACUAUGGAGGCAAAUAAAUAAAUAAAUAAAUAAAUGCUUAUUUAGAGAUGGGGGAAAAAGAGAACGUCCAAAGGAAGGAUUCAGAGUUCCUUGUGGGUCCCUUCCAAUUCAGGAUAUUCUAUGAUUCUAUGAUUAAAAAGGGACCCGCCAUUCAGAAAUCGCUUCCUUAUUAGAAUGUGCAAUGUAAUACUGCAGCCCCAGCAAUGGUCUUUUCUUGUCAUGUUAAAUUUUAUAUUGUCUUGCUAGCUAAACAGCAUAAAAAUGUACAGUCACAGACAACUCUGUAAUACUACCUCAUCCAAUUUCAUUCAUAUUGACAGAAUACAUAGAAUCAGACCUGAUGAACACAAGACUGUGAACAGGUCUUAGGUGGAAUGUCAAAACUGCCAUUCUCUCCCUGCUUCGGAGGUUGCUGGCUUAGGUUUAGCCCUCUUUUUCUUGGCUCACCAUUUGUUGUCACCUCAUACCUGUUGGGAGAGGUGUGGGUGGAUUUCUCUGAGUCUUAGUCAAUGCAUGCUCUCCCAGUGCUGGUUUUUAAUUAAUCCCAUUUAAAGGGAUUAUUGCUUUUGUGGACUGGGUUCUAUUGCCUCAGGAAUUUUAAGUAUUUUGAUUAUGACUACAUUACUGAGCUGAAAUGAUUAAAAAAAAAAAAAAUUGUAAACUUAGUGCUCUGAUGUCUUCCCUGACCCUGAGGGAGCUGCUAGAAAAGCUACUGUCUUCGAGAGGAGAAAGAGGAAAGAAAAAAGUGAGCUCAAAUUGGAGAACCAUGGAAAAGAGUUCAGAGGAGCCAGAUUUUCACUUUAUCCCAAACUCUCAGGGAUGAGAGGUCAUUACACUGCUGGGAGGGCUCUGUUCCUCAUCCUGCCUCACACUCACAGCAACAACUUGCUCCACAUCUUCCAUCUGCUUCCGAUCAGUGACAGGAGCAACAGGCAUAUCAGGCCAUAGGGGCAGAAGGCAGAGAGCAGUUGUUCGCUAG
This is a long non-coding RNA of Gallus gallus (chicken), 1786 nucleotides long. Lineage: Eukaryota; Metazoa; Chordata; Aves; Galliformes; Phasianidae. The record is from Ensembl.